CCAUUUUUUAUCUAUGAUGACUCUGUUAUAAAUUUAAUAUACUUUUAACUUUGUACAUUAAUCUUUAUAAUAUUUUUCGUACUGCAAUGCUAUUACUUUUUAUUGUUGCGAAAUAUUCGAUUUUACAGUAAUUCAACUUUGUAAUUAUUUUUAUUAAUACAGCUACCUCGAUUUUCCAGACUCGAAAGAUGCUACUGUUCUUCGGGAUGUUCCUGAAGACCUCGCCGCCGGAGUCAUCGCUGCGACAGCUCCUGUCAUCCUGCGAGAUGGCGUGCGAGCCAAGGUUUCGCAACGAACGCGCUUCGCGAGCGUACUGAAAACUGGGAUACCAGAGCUCGCGAGAGGAUCUCCGCCUCGCAGGUGCAUUCGAGUGCGUGCUCGAACUCACUUGACGCACCGCACGCAGCCUCGGCCGGAAGAGCGCUUAGCACAUUAAAUAAGUUUACUUUAAUUUAGCACACGUAUGCUUUCCAACAUAACUACCUGGAGAGAUAUCCUUUAGAUUUCUAAAAGAUAUCUAUGCCGCACGUCUCUUGAAAUGCCUUGAACUUUUUUUUGGAAAGUUUAGAAGAGUAGUUCAAGUAUUAUCUUUAAUACUUUUUUUUUAGAUGCCUUUUCGAUAUCUAGAAAUGCCUUGAGAAUAUUCUGUAGAAAUCUAAAAGACAUUUUGUGAUAAAUAUCUUAAUGAUAAGUAUUUUUUGAGAUAUCUAUAGAUAUUGUUUAGAAAUUCUACAAAGAUAAUUUCAACAAAAUCCUUUUGAACACUUUGGAUAUUUUCUAAAAAUGCUUGAACAUGUCUUUUACAUGUAUUAUAUUUAUAUUUUUUUCGCAAAAUAAUUAUUAUGAGACCUCGACGUUUUUUAGGUAUACAUAGCUGUAUAAAUAAAUAGUAAAUAUAUGUAUAUCGAAAUAUGUAUUGUUCGAUUCGUGACAAAAGACAAAGCGGCGUUUACGAGUUAAGCGCAGUAAAGUAAAAUUUAAUUAAUAUUAAUAACGAUUAUUAAUCAAAUUUA
Solenopsis invicta (red fire ant) is the source of this 1013-nucleotide long non-coding RNA. RefSeq lists it as uncharacterized. Lineage: Eukaryota; Metazoa; Arthropoda; Insecta; Hymenoptera; Formicidae. The transcript is spliced from 2 exons. The record is from RefSeq and is a predicted model, not a curated record.